AAGAUAUCAAAAAUUAGUUCAAAAUAAGUCCUUCGACGAAAAUUUCUUUUUAAGAAAUGCUUUGCUCCUAAGAAUUAUUUCUUUUUAAGAAUCGAGACGAAAUUUUACUCCUACUUUCAAUCUUAAUUAAACUUUCUAGACCUAUUUUGGCUGCAUUCAGCAGAGAAAGCAGAUUUGCAACUAAUGUGAGAUUCUUCAACAUGAUUGGUUUUGCACUUAGUUCUUCGCGGAUCUAAAUGUAUAAACCAAUCAUAUUAAAGAAUUUUAUAACAAUUGCAAAGACGCUUUUUUCUGCUGAACACAGCCUUUGUUUAUGGAGAGAACAGCGUGCAUUUGUGUGUAUGUGAUUAUUUGGAAAUAAGUCAAAUAUGUGGGACAGUAAAAGAUAAAGCGGAUAAGUUGAAAGGUGUAGAGACAUAAAAUCUUCGUAGAGGCCUGAAAUGACUACAAAGAUAAAUUUUCUAUAAAAAUACAAACAUGGUUAACGAAGUCGAAAAAAUCGAGGUAUGCCGUUUGUGUGGAAAAGAGUCUCGAAACUGUUUUUCAAUAUUUCAAGACGAAGAUAAUAUUCUCGAAAAAAUAAAUACAUGUUUACCGAUCGAUAUUUCUUCGGAUGAUAAAUUGCCUUCCAAUAUAUGCAGAUGUUGCUCAUAUCGUUUAAGUAUUAGUUAUAAACUGCGUUGUACUGCAGUUGAGGUAGAUGAGCGUCUGCGAAUGCAAUUACAUCAAAGGCAGAGCGAUGAUGUCUACACAA
Molecule: long non-coding RNA, 754 nt
Organism: Wasmannia auropunctata (little fire ant)
Lineage: Eukaryota; Metazoa; Arthropoda; Insecta; Hymenoptera; Formicidae
Exons: 3
Source: RefSeq, a predicted model, not a curated record